AACGCCAGCUACAGGCUUAACACAUGCAAGUCGAGGGGCAGCAUUGGAGUAGCAAUACUUCAGAUGGCGACCGGCGCACGGGUGAGUAACACGUAUCCAACCUGCCGCUUACUCGGGGAUAGCCUUUCGAAAGAAAGAUUAAUACCCGAUGGUAUAAAGAGUUCGCAUGUUCUCUUUAUUAAAGAAUUUCGGUAAGCGAUGGGGAUGCGUUCCAUUAGAUUGUUGGCGGGGUAACGGCCCACCAAGUCUACGAUGGAUAGGGGUUCUGAGAGGAAGGUCCCCCACAUUGGAACUGAGACACGGUCCAAACUCCUACGGGAGGCAGCAGUGAGGAAUAUUGGUCAAUGGACGAGAGUCUGAACCAGCCAAGUAGCGUGAAGGAUGACUGCCCUAUGGGUUGUAAACUUCUUUUAUAAGGGAAUAAAGUGAGGGACGUGUCCCUUUUUGUAUGUACCUUAUGAAUAAGGAUCGGCUAACUCCGUGCCAGCAGCCGCGGUAAUACGGAGGAUCCAAGCGUUAUCCGGAUUUAUUGGGUUUAAAGGGAGCGUAGGUUGACAUAUAAGUCAGCUGUGAAAGUUUACGGCUCAACCGUGAAAUUGCAGUUGAUACUGUAUGUCUUGAGUGUACAAGAGGUGGGCGGAAUUCGUGGUGUAGCGGUGAAAUGCUUAGAUAUCACGAAGAACUCCGAUUG
RNAcentral lists this ribosomal RNA (691 nucleotides) under uncultured bacterium. RNAcentral describes it as "bacterial SSU rRNA". It matches the Rfam family "Bacterial small subunit ribosomal RNA", at positions 32 to 715 of the family's 1533-position model. The record is from RNAcentral.